CCUGACAGACUUCUUGUGUGACUGUGGGCGGCUCUCCAAGUCCUCACCAUCAGAUGAAAUGUCAUCUUCUCUCUCCGGGUCAUUGUGAGAAAACAAUGAGAGCAUGCUUGAGCCUGUUCAGAGCAGGUGCUCAGUAGCAGUGGCUGACACAAGUAGAGGCUUACUAAACACUCCCAAGAGUGAUGAUGAGAGUCACUGCCAGUUCCCUUCAAGGGAAAUGUGUUGGGGUGGGAUAGCCACAGUCACCGUGACAACAGAGAUGUAUGACGAGUCUUAGCAUACAGCUCAAGUCCCUGGGAGACCACGGGGGAAGAGGAGAAGGGUCUGCACUGAAGGCCAAUUGGAGGAAAUGGCAAGGGGGUUCACCUCUUCACUGUCUGUUCCAGUACUUCUUACUUCAUUGAUGUUACCAGUGAACAAUGGAGCUGCCACUCACAGCCAUCCCGCUGACAUCACUCAGCUUCCCUGAGGAGAAGAACUAAGAUUCCUGAGGCCGAUUCCACCAGAGAAAGCAGCAGAAAACAACCCGCAAGCAAUCAACACUCCAAAUAGCACCCAGUUCCACGUAUGCGGCAGACCUUCUUAUACGGAAACCAUUAUUUUGUUUUAUUUUUGUACAUUGAACUAAAUCAGGCUGUUGGAGAUGUGUACCCUUCGUCACUA
Molecule: long non-coding RNA, 663 nt
Organism: Neofelis nebulosa (Clouded leopard)
Lineage: Eukaryota; Metazoa; Chordata; Mammalia; Carnivora; Felidae
Exons: 3
Source: RefSeq, a predicted model, not a curated record